This 427-nucleotide ribosomal RNA is filed under the name uncultured bacterium. RNAcentral describes it as "partial 16S ribosomal RNA". It matches the Rfam family "Bacterial small subunit ribosomal RNA", at positions 355 to 774 of the family's 1533-position model. The record is from RNAcentral.
UGGGGAAUAUUGCACAAUGGGCGCAAGCCUGAUGCAGCCAUGCCGCGUGUAUGAAGAAGGCCUUCGGGUUGUAAAGUACUUUCAGCGGGGAGGAAGGGAGUAAAGUUAAUACCUUUGCUCAUUGACGUUACCCGCAGAAGAAGCACCGGCUAACUCCGUGCCAGCUGCCGCGGUAAUACGGAGGGUGCAAGCGUUAAUCGGAAUUACUGGGCGUAAAGCGCACGCAGGCGGUUUGUUAAGUCAGAUGUGAAAUCCCCGGGCUCAACCUGGGAACUGCAUCUGAUACUGGCAAGCUUGAGUCUCGUAGAGGGGGGUAGAAUUCCAGGUGUAGCGGUGAAAUGCGUAGAGAUCUGGAGGAAUACCGGUGGCGAAGGCGGCCCCCUGGACGAAGACUGACGCUCAGGUGCGAAAGCGUGGGGAGCAAACA